Molecule: ribosomal RNA, 407 nt
Filed under: uncultured bacterium
Lineage: Bacteria
Description: partial 16S ribosomal RNA
Rfam family: Bacterial small subunit ribosomal RNA
Source: RNAcentral
AUUGAACGCUGGCGGCAGGCAUAACACAUGCAAGUCGAGCGGAGCGGCGGACGGGUGAGUAAUGCCUAGGAAUCUGCCUGGUAGUGGGGGAUAACGUCCGGAAACGGGCGCUAAUACCGCAUACUAUCAGACGAGCCUAGGUCGGAUGAGCUAGUUGGUGGGGUAAAGUCCUACCAAGGCGACGAUCCGUAACUGGUCUGAGAGGAUGAUCCGUCACACUGGAACUGAGACACGGUCCAGACCACAACGGUAGGCAGCAGUGGGGAAUAUUGGACAAUGGGCGAAAGCCUGAUCCAGCCAUGCCGCUGGUGUGAAGAAGGUGUUCGGAUUGUAAAGCACUUUAAGUUGGGAGGCGUUACCAACAGAAUCAGCACCGGCUAACUUCGUGCCAGCAGCCGCGGUAAUAC